CUGUCAACUCCAAUGGUCCCCUCUGAUUUUUAACGACCUUAAAGUGCUUUCAUUUAGUGCCUUGCUUGUAUAUAAUCUCACAUAUUUUGUAAAUGCAAAGCAAGUAAUCACAUUCAAGGACUAUUGACCAAUUACUUUUAUUUCUUUGAGGUUCUGCACAAUUGAGCAUCCCUGUGUUUUGGACACGUGAAGCUGGUAGGUGAGUGGUAGUAAGUAUACAAUUCCAAAUAAAUGGGCUACAUUGCUUUCUCAUGCACAGCACCUAAACUACUAUUAUUUCACAUUGAACGCCAGUGGAAUUAUUCAUAAUCUUCUAGGUGGCUCAAAUAGAAUAGGCAAGGACUGAGAUUUGCUUGUAGGAUGAACAGGAAAAAAAGAAAUCAAGCAUAACUUAAAAGUAAUUACCCGUUUUGGUAAUGGUGCCCCAAAUCUUUGAUGAAUUGCCAUCACAUAUCAACGAAAUGCACUCAACUGGGACAAUCCUUUUUCUAGAAGGAAACACUAAUGCAGUUUAUUAGGACACUACUCUAAAAGACAAAUGCGAUGUUCCUGUGCCAUCAAGUUUUGUCACAAGGUUGAAAUGACCUAUCCCAGUGAAAUUUAAGAGCCAGAAGAUUUUCAAAUAUCUAUAUGGAACCAGAGGAAGAUAGAAUGACCUUGCCAGGACUUGGACUUGUUUGGCAAAAGCCCUGGUUGAAGCCAGACCUAAGCUGUGGAAACUAAUAUUUUGUGCAGACAGGAUAGU
Molecule: long non-coding RNA, 745 nt
Filed under: Homo sapiens (human)
Lineage: Eukaryota; Metazoa; Chordata; Mammalia; Primates; Hominidae
Description: non-protein coding lnc-NTS-2:1
Source: RNAcentral